Molecule: ribosomal RNA, 563 nt
Filed under: [Candida] sp. UWO(PS)91-151
Lineage: Eukaryota; Fungi; Ascomycota; Saccharomycetes; Saccharomycetales
Description: LSU rRNA
Rfam family: Eukaryotic large subunit ribosomal RNA
Source: RNAcentral
AAACCAACAGGGAUUGCCUUAGUAACGGCGAGUGAAGCGGCAUAAGCUCAAAUUUGAAAUCUAGCGCGUUUGGCGUUCGAGUUGUAAUUUGAAGAAGCGUAUCUUGGGGACGGGUCUUUAUCUAUGUUCCUUGGAACAGGACGUCAUGGAGGGUGAGAAUCCCGUGUGAUUUUGACUGCGGUUUCUGUAUAAGAUUGUUUCGAAGAGUCGAGUUGUUUGGGAAUGCAGCUCUAAGUGGGUGGUAAAUUCCAUCUAAAGCUAAAUAUUGGCGAGAGACCGAUAGCGAACAAGUACAGUGAUGGAAAGAUGAAAAGACUUCUGAAGAGAGAGUGAAAAAGUACGUGAAAUUGCUGAAAGGGAAGGGCUUGAGGUCAGACUUGAAGUUUAUGUCUUGCUGUUCUUUAUGGGCAGUUAUAUUAAUGAAUUUUCGGGCCAAUAUCAGUUUUUGGGGCAGAGGACCUUUUGGAAUGUGGCUUUCUUCGGGAAGUGUUAUAGCCAUUGUGGAGAUCUGUUCUGGGGACUGAGGACUGCGCAAUUUAUUGCUAGGAUAUUGGCGUAAUGAC